Hyaena hyaena (striped hyena) is the source of this 430-nucleotide long non-coding RNA. RefSeq lists it as uncharacterized. The transcript has 4 exons. NCBI's taxonomy places the organism in Eukaryota, Metazoa, Chordata, Mammalia, Carnivora, Hyaenidae. The record is from RefSeq and is a predicted model, not a curated record.
GUGGGAACUGGGGGAACAUGUAGGCGAAGGCCAGACCAUGAGUCUCUAAAAGCAGUCUGCUGACAGUUUUAGCAUCUUGCCUUUGAACGGAAGUUUUGAGGACAUCUCUCCUCACCCCUGACCUGUGAGGGGCUAUGAGGGAACGUAAGAGAGAGGAGGUGAAUCCAGCAUUUCUCUGGCCCACUGUCUGCACACCUCAGUAACCAAGUGUGAGCCAUGAAGAGCCACAUGACGAGCCACAGGAGGCAGGUGGAGGCCCGCUUUAACAUGAAGGGGAGUGCUGAUGGGAAACAGAGGUCUGGCUCAUUCCCCUGCUACAACUUCUCCCCCAUUAGGGCCCUGACACAGCUGAGAACACUGCAGGAAUACCUUGGAGAUAUUCCAGACCACCAUGAUAAAGUGAACAUCAAAAUAAAGAGACUCAAAUGAA